Molecule: RNA transcript, 1079 nt
Organism: Tigriopus californicus
Lineage: Eukaryota; Metazoa; Arthropoda; Copepoda; Harpacticoida; Harpacticidae
Gene: Atg5
Gene name: autophagy protein 5-like
Exons: 6
Source: RefSeq, a predicted model, not a curated record
CUCUUCCUUGAGCUAACCUUCAAAAGUUUUCAUACAUCCAAAUAUCAAGUCGUGAGAUCUCAUCUUAAGGAUUGUUUAUUGUUUGUUGUCAAGUUGUGCUCUUGUUAUUCGGUAGAAACAUGGCCGAUGAUCGCGAGAUCUUGCGCGAGCUCUGGGAUGGACGGAUCCCCACAUCUUUUAGUUUAGCCUCCAAUGAGGUUGAAACCCUGAGCGCUCCGGAUCCGUAUUACUUGAUGUUGCCACGACAGACCUAUUUACCCAUUGCUACCGAGAAGGUACGUAAGCACUUCUCUAAACACGUCAAAGUUGAACAUCAAGAGAACCCCAUGUGGUUUGAGUUUGAUGGCACACCUCUCCAAUGGCACCGUCCAUUGGGCGUUCUCUAUGAUCUAGCCGUCAUGAAUUCUGAUGGCGAAGCCAGACCCCCUUGGUCUCUGGUGGUUCACUUCGAUAACUAUCCUCACCAGGAAAUUCUCCGUCUGGAUUCGCCGCAAGCAGUAGAGAUGAACUUCAUGUCCAGUAUCAAAGAAGCCGAUUUUAUUAAGCACGCUGGGAAGAUCAUUUCAACCAUGCAAAAGAAAGAUCAUCUGCAGUUAUGGCAAGGUCUGCAAAAUGACAAAUUUGAUCAAUUUUGGGCCGUGAACCGACGUCUCAUGGAGCGAAUGUCUGGCGAGGAAGGAUUCAAGGCUAUUCCGGUACGCAUUUAUCGUGGCGAUCAGAUGAUUCUCCAGAAAUUGUACAAAACCAUUGGGCCGGAGCGGAAGAAGCGGACUCUCCAGGAUCUCUUAGAUGAAGCUUUCCCCGAUGAGGAUAACAGCGACGCUCGGCUAGAUUUUGAGGAUUCUGCAACAUUGGAGUGAUAUUCCUGGGAAGAGGCAAUUCAACAAGCGGAUCUAGCAUAUUCUCUGCAACUGUGGCCAAUUCAGACCAGUUAUGGUUUCCACUCAAGGCAUAACACCCCCUCGAGAAACGCCCCUCCAGUGGCUUUCUGAACAUCUUAGUUAUCCCGAUAACUUCAUCUACUUAUGCGUCAAGUGAAUUCCUGUUCCAAAGAUGUUGAAUAAAUAUUGGCAUUAUUA